Molecule: ribosomal RNA, 1356 nt
Filed under: Triticum aestivum (bread wheat)
Lineage: Eukaryota; Viridiplantae; Streptophyta; Magnoliopsida; Poales; Poaceae
Description: partial small subunit ribosomal RNA
Source: RNAcentral
AUGUACGCGCCACCACCAGCACCACACGCGGCGGUCCACCCGUGGCAGAGCGGCGGCGGCGCCACGGCCUCCGACCAGCCUCCCCCGCACGCGGCGGUCACGGGCGGCACGGUGUCGUACGCGGACCUGGCCGCGGCGACGGACGGGUUCUCGGACGCCAAGCUGCUGGGGCAGGGCGGGUUCGGGCACGUGUACCGCGGCACGCUGGGCUCGGGCCCGGCGGCGCGGGAGGUGGCCAUCAAGCGGCUCCGGGCCGGCAGCGGGCAGGGCGAGCGCGAGUUCCGCGCCGAGGUGGAGAGCAUCGGCCGCGUGCACCACCGCAACCUCGUGUCGCUGCUGGGGUACUGCAUCCAUGGCGACCAGCGCCUCCUCGUCUACGAGCACGUCCCCAACCACACGCUCGAGUCCCACCUGCACCACGGCGGCGACGGGCCGACGCUGCUGGACUGGGAACGCAGGUGGCGGAUCGCGCUCGGGGCGGCCAAGGGCCUCGCCUACCUGCACGAGGACUGUCAUCCUAAGAUCAUCCAUCGCGACAUCAAGGCGGCAAACAUCCUUCUGGAUGACAACUUUGAGCCCAAGGUCGCCGACUUUGGGCUGGCCAAGAUCCAGCACGGAGACGACAGCCAUGUUUCUACGCGGGUGAUGGGGACCUUCGGGUACAUGGCGCCGGAGUACACCAACACGGGAAAAAUAACCGACCGGUCCGACGUCUUCUCCUUGGGCGUCGUGCUUCUGGAGAUCAUCACCGGCAAGAGACCGGUCCUGUCCGACGAGCCCGACGAGGACGACGAGACUCUGGUCUCUUGGGCACGGCCUCUGCUGACAAAAGCUCUGGAGGGGCAACUCACCAUGGAGCUCAUCGACCCAAGGCUGGAGGCCAACUACGACGCCCACGAGAUGCAGCGGCUCAUCGCCUGCGCCGCCGCCGCCGUGCGCCACACGGCCCGCUCCCGCCCCCGAGUGAGCCAGAUCGUCCGGUACCUGGAGGGCGAGCUACCGCUGGAGGCCCUCAACGGCGGCGUGGAGCCGGGGCAGAGCGAGGCGCACGACGCCACCACCACAGAGCAGCUGCGGCGGAUGAGGAGGAUGGCGUUCCUGCAGCGGGGCGCCGACAGCGGCAACACGGGCGCCACCGGCUUCGUCAGCGAGGCCACCAGCGAGUACGGGCUGUGCGCCUCCAGCUCCAGCAGCGACGGCGACGCCGCGCAGAGCACGAGCCGCGCGCCCGGCGGGCAGCACCCCGGCCAGGCGAGCUACGCCGCCGGCAACAACGUGGGCAGGGCGGGGCGGCACUCCGGCGACCUCGGGGCCAUGAGCCGGCGCACGCGCCCGGGCCGCGCCGGCCUGGAGUAA